This 653-nucleotide ribosomal RNA is filed under the name Halomonas sp. M3-10D. RNAcentral's name for it is "bacterial SSU rRNA". It matches the Rfam family "Bacterial small subunit ribosomal RNA", at positions 61 to 711 of the family's 1533-position model. The record is from RNAcentral. Lineage: Bacteria; Pseudomonadati; Pseudomonadota; Gammaproteobacteria; Oceanospirillales; Halomonadaceae.
GUCGAGCGGUAACAGAUCUAGCUUGCUAGAUGCUGACGAGCGGCGGACGGGUGAGUAAUGCAUAGGAAUCUGCCCGGUAGUGGGGGAUAACCUGGGGAAACCCAGGCUAAUACCGCAUACGUCCUACGGGAGAAAGGGGGCUUCGGCUCCCGCUAUUGGAUGAGCCUAUGUCGGAUUAGCUAGUUGGUGAGGUAAUGGCUCACCAAGGCAACGAUCCGUAGCUGGUCUGAGAGGAUGAUCAGCCACAUCGGGACUGAGACACGGCCCGAACUCCUACGGGAGGCAGCAGUGGGGAAUAUUGGACAAUGGGCGCAAGCCUGAUCCAGCCAUGCCGCGUGUGUGAAGAAGGCCUUCGGGUUGUAAAGCACUUUCAGCGAGGAAGAACGCCUAGGGGUUAAUACCCACUAGGAAAGACAUCACUCGCAGAAGAAGCACCGGCUAACUCCGUGCCAGCAGCCGCGGUAAUACGGAGGGUGCGAGCGUUAAUCGGAAUUACUGGGCGUAAAGCGCGCGUAGGUGGCUUGAUAAGCCGGUUGUGAAAGCCCCGGGCUCAACCUGGGAACGGCAUCCGGAACUGUCAAGCUAGAGUGCAGGAGAGGAAGGUAGAAUUCCCGGUGUAGCGGUGAAAUGCGUAGAGAUCGGGAGGAAUACCA